AACCGGAUUAGAUACCCUGGUAGUCCACGCUGUAAACGAUGUCGAUUUGGAGGUUGUGCCCUUGAGGCGUGGCUUCCGGAGCUAACGCGUUAAAUCGACCGCCUGGGGAGUACGGCCGCAAGGUUAAAACUCAAAUGAAUUGACGGGGGCCCGCACAAGCGGUGGAGCAUGUGGUUUAAUUCGAUGCAACGCGAAGAACCUUACCUACUCUUGACAUCCAGAGAACUUUCCAGAGAUGGAUUGGUGCCUUCGGGAACUCUGAGACAGGUGCUGCAUGGCUGUCGUCAGCUCGUGUUGUGAAAUGUUGGGUUAAGUCCCGCAACGAGCGCAACCCUUAUCCUUUGUUGCCAGCGGUUAGGCCGGGAACUCAAAGGAGACUGCCAGUGAUAAACUGGAGGAAGGUGGGGAUGACGUCAAGUCAUCAUGGCCCUUACGAGUAGGGCUACACACGUGCUACAAUGGCGCAUACAAAGAGAAGCGACCUCGCGAGAGCAAGCGGACCUCAUAAAGUACGUCGUAGUCCGGAUUGGAGUCUGCAACUCGACUCCAUGAAGUCGGAAUCGCUAGUAAUCGUAGAUCAGAAUGCUACGGUGAAUACGUUCCCGGGCCUUGUACACACCGCCCGUCACACCAUGGGAGUGGGUUGCAAAAGAAGUAGGUAGCUUAACCUUCGGGAGGGCGCUUACCACUUUGUGAUUCAUGACUGGGGUGAAGUCGUAACAAGGUAACC
Molecule: ribosomal RNA, 730 nt
Filed under: uncultured bacterium
Lineage: Bacteria
Description: bacterial SSU rRNA
Rfam family: Bacterial small subunit ribosomal RNA
Source: RNAcentral